RNAcentral lists this long non-coding RNA (640 nucleotides) under Elaeis guineensis (African oil palm). RNAcentral's name for it is "long non-coding RNA (EGUI_LNC058539)". Lineage: Eukaryota; Viridiplantae; Streptophyta; Magnoliopsida; Arecales; Arecaceae. The record is from RNAcentral.
GGGUUUCUUUCCCUUUGUAGUUUAGUCGAAGUUCGGCCGACUAUUUCUUUGUUUAGGAGCUUCUACACCUUCAAACGCCAUCUCUUGGUAAGGGAUUGGUGGUACUUCUCCUCCAGUUCAGUAGAAAGGGGUUGCUGAAAGGUGCUCCCUCUUCCAUCCAUAACUAGAAGGAGAGGUUCUUCUAUGUCCGAUGCCCAACCUUAGAGCUAGGGUUACCCCCUUGGGGUUCUCUGAGGGAUUCCGCCCGUCGGGCCUCCAGCCGGAAAAGGAUGACUUCAAGGCCUCAAAAAAGCUCGAGGCCUAUCGAGCCCCCCUCUUCUCCAAACUUUUGAGGGAGCAAUUUUUGUUCAACAUCAGCCUGAGCCCCCUUAAUCCUGCUGGUAUCGAUUCAUCAUUUCAUUCAAUUUUUUUUCAUCUCUGAGCCAUGUCAAUUUCUUUUUAUCACAGACAUGGACGCAAGCGUGGCUCGGAGGCUAGCUCAGGGUCUCAAGACCCACAAGAGGAAAGAUGCCUCGACUUCGGGGUCGGUGAAGAGAGCCAGGACAGAAGCGACAAGCUCAGCCGCACCUGCCCCGGUGGCCGUCGCCUUCGAAAUCCCUUCCAACACCGAACCCGUAAUCCCCUGAGCCCUUUCAAGGAG